RNAcentral lists this long non-coding RNA (237 nucleotides) under Medicago truncatula (barrel medic). Its description in RNAcentral is "lncRNA gene50237". Lineage: Eukaryota; Viridiplantae; Streptophyta; Magnoliopsida; Fabales; Fabaceae. The record is from RNAcentral.
AUGAGCAAGUACUGUUUGUUGUCAACUCCGGAUAGCGGACAAUAAUGGUUUAUUCAAAUUUUGCCGUGACAUAGCGCCACUAUUUGACAGCAAUACUUCGUAGUUUGUACUACAUAGUGUAUCGCGGAACAUAGCUGUGACGCCGCUAUAGCUUAUGCUUGACUUGACAUCUUAUGAGACCGUUUGAGAGAGUUUAUGGUUGUCAUCACAUGUCCAUAAGUUAUUUUCAGCUUAUUU